CUUGGCUUGCUUUGAAUGAAGGUCAUGUAGCAAUGGAGGAAUGAGAUUGAAGUCGAGCGACGAAAGGAAGUGCCACGAAGAUGGCGAUCCGACUCAUUCAGUUUCUUCUUUGAUACAUUGAUUUGCAUCAAGCAAGUCUCUGUGAUGACCAAAGAAGAGGGAUUACCAAAUCCACGUUAGGAAAGCGGAGAAGCUCAUCAAGUCAGAGUGGGGCAUAUCAAGGUAGCUACAGUCGUGGAUGCGGUCUCGUUGCUGAGGUAGGUCGAUUGACACGUUUCCACGCAUGGAGCUCCUAUCGU
Molecule: long non-coding RNA, 299 nt
Filed under: Amborella trichopoda
Lineage: Eukaryota; Viridiplantae; Streptophyta; Magnoliopsida; Amborellales; Amborellaceae
Description: long non-coding RNA (ATRI_LNC001507)
Source: RNAcentral